GCGCCAUAAGCUCAGUUGGUAGAGCAGUGGUCUUGUAAUCCGGCAACCUGGGUUCGAAACCAAGGCGAUGCA
This 72-nucleotide transfer RNA is filed under the name Strongylocentrotus purpuratus (purple sea urchin). It matches the Rfam family "tRNA". From Rfam's summary of the family: Transfer RNA (tRNA) molecules are approximately 80 nucleotides in length. Their secondary structure includes four short double-helical elements and three loops (D, anti-codon, and T loops). Further hydrogen bonds mediate the characteristic L-shaped molecular structure. tRNAs have two regions of fundamental functional importance: the anti-codon, which is responsible for specific mRNA codon recognition, and the 3' end, to which the tRNAs corresponding amino acid is attached (by aminoacyl-tRNA synthetases). tRNAs cope with the degeneracy of the genetic code in two manners: having more than one tRNA (with a specific anti-codon) for a particular amino acid; and 'wobble' base-pairing, i.e. permitting non-standard base-pairing at the 3rd anti-codon position. The record is from Rfam by way of RNAcentral. Lineage: Eukaryota; Metazoa; Echinodermata; Echinoidea; Camarodonta; Strongylocentrotidae.